UGGGGAAUAUUGGACAAUGGGCGAAAGCCUGAUCCAGCCAUGCCGCGUGUGUGAAGAAGGUCUUCGGAUUGUAAAGCACUUUAAGUUGGGAGGAAGGGCAGUAAGCGAAUACCUUGCUGUUUUGACGUUACCGACAGAAUAAGCACCGGCUAACUCUGUGCCAGCAGCCGCGGUAAUACAGAGGGUGCAAGCGUUAAUCGGAAUUACUGGGCGUAAAGCGCGCGUAGGUGGUACGUUAAGUUGAAUGUGAAAGCCCCGGGCUCAACCUGGGAACUGCAUCCAAAACUGGCGAGCUAGAGUAGGGCAGAGGGUGGUGGAAUUUCCUGUGUAGCGGUGAAAUGCGUAGAUAUAGGAAGGAACACCAGUGGCGAAGGCGACCACCUGGGCUCAUACUGACACUGAAGUGCGAAAGCGUGGGGAGCAAACAGG
Molecule: ribosomal RNA, 429 nt
Filed under: Pseudomonadota bacterium
Lineage: Bacteria; Pseudomonadati; Pseudomonadota
Description: Proteobacteria bacterium partial 16S ribosomal RNA
Rfam family: Bacterial small subunit ribosomal RNA
Source: RNAcentral